AGUACUUCACCUUCACAUUUCAACUCCAUUUGGCUGUCUGGAGCCUUCUCGCUCCCGCAUGCAGGCGAUUUCGAGCUGCCAUCGCCGCCAAGCUCGACUGGGACAAACAGGAAACGGUGGUGCCACGCAUUCAAAACACAAUGAUUGUUGAGUUUUCUCUUCAUCAGAUCAAGGGUAUAUGGAACAUAUCUUAAGACUUGUGCUGAGACAGCUGAACAUUGGCUUGACAAAUGCAUGAGGGACCGAGGAGCGAGGAUGAUGCUACAAACACAUUACUGGGCAAGGUGCUUUUGCAAUUACUAACUAUAUGCUGCUCUGCACCAACAACUUGAAGGACUUUCUGUCAAAAGAAAAAAGAAAAACACCUUGAAGGACAAAUUGGUGUGUCAAUUAUCAGCAUGGCCAACUUCAGAGUAUCCUAGUUAACUUUGUUGCAUUUUGUAAUAUAUUAGCAACCAUUAACUUCUGUAUGUAGGUUAGGGUCUGAUGGUCCAACCUAGGCACGGCCAUAUGCCGAUAUCAUUCUUGUCCUUUGGGUGCAGGCUGCCAUGAAAUUCCUGAGUAUUAUUUGCUACAAAGGUGGACUAAAACAGCCACCCAUAAUGUUGUUUUUGAUGCAAAUGGGAAUAUAAUUGAAGGAUCAUGUACAUCCCUUCCACAAAACAUAAAGAGGUUGUGUUCUUAGACAUGGUCCAAGCUUAAAUCAGGAAUGCAGGCGGCCAAGCAAUGUGAGGAGAAAAUGGAAUAUUUUCACAACUAACGGAAAAAUUAAGAUUUCGGAGUUUGAAUCUUUUGUUGGAACACAGUUUCCAGUAGAAAUAAGUAUCCAUCCACCUGAAGUGUUGCGAGCGAAGGGAAACGAGAGGAGACUCAAGCGAGGUUCAGAGCAGUCAUCAACUAACCAAAGAGAGAAAAGAUCAAGAAGCACCAAGAAGGUUGGGGAGCAUUGAUGUGAAUUAUGUUUUGUAUCUUAUGACUAUGGAGCAAGGCACUUUUGCAGUCACUAAUGUGCUGCUCUGUACCGGGAAGUUGGAGGACAAUUUGGUGCAUCAAGUAUCAACAUGGACAACUAGAGAGGAUCCUGGAUUUGGUGUAUUUUGUAAUAAUAAGUUAGCGACAUAAACUUUUCUAGGUUAGUAAAUGAUGGUCCAACCUAGGCAUUGACAUAUGCCGACAUGUUGCACCUGUGUUAACCUCAAAUGUAAAUAUAUUCCAUUGAAAACUAUUGUAAGGCCCCGUUGGUUCCUCCUAAAAUUCUUAUCACAUCGAAUAUUUAUCACAUCGAA
Setaria italica (foxtail millet) is the source of this 1286-nucleotide long non-coding RNA. RefSeq lists it as uncharacterized. The record is from RefSeq and is a predicted model, not a curated record. Lineage: Eukaryota; Viridiplantae; Streptophyta; Magnoliopsida; Poales; Poaceae. The transcript is spliced from 5 exons.